GUGGUAUUCAAGUAUUGCUAUUACAAUUAAUAUGUUAAACACCAAGUUAUGAUUUAGACUUAGAUCAAGUUCUUUUGUUUUCCCUGUAUUUCACUGUAAGAUGCAUGUGUUUUACCAAUGGAAUCUUGUAUAUAUGUCUAUAACAUGUCAAAUACUCAUACUUAACUCUGCUGUGUCCUGUGUGUUUUGGUCAAAAUCAUUCUUCAUAGAAUUUUGUAUGAGACCAAAUUUACAUUGACAUGGCUUAGUCAAUAAUAUGAUCAGUAAACAUUUUCUGUGAAGUAGAACAAGCCAUCCAAAUUGUUUAUGAUUGUUCAAAUCAUAGAUUCUAUAGGCUUAUAAUAUUCAUAGGAACAUUCUUGGAAUUCCUUUUUUAGUGGCAUGUGCAAAGUUCUUUGUAUUACCUGAUUGUAAUUACUUUCCAUGCAUGUUUGACAUGGUGUAAUUCAAUUAUAAUGUAUGAAAUGUAUUUUAGUUCAUUUUCUAUUGAAUUUUUGCUUGAUUACAUUCAAUUGUAUCUUACCAAAGAUGCACUUGUGUCAUUCUUUUGGUAUUUAUUUUUUCUUGAAGUUACAAUAUUAUCCACGAGUUUCUAAAUUGAUCAUAGCAUGAUAUUGGAAGAUACAAUUUGGAGCUUAUCAUCUACCUGCUAUG
Molecule: unclassified non-coding RNA, 654 nt
Filed under: Hevea brasiliensis (rubber tree)
Lineage: Eukaryota; Viridiplantae; Streptophyta; Magnoliopsida; Malpighiales; Euphorbiaceae
Source: RNAcentral